CCUACGGGUGGCAGCAGUGAGGAAUAUUGGUCAAUGGGCGCUAGCCUGAACCAGCCAAGUCGCGUGAAGGAUGACUGCCCUAUGGGUUGUAAACUUCUUUUAUCUGGGAGUAAAGUGCAGUAUGUAUACUGCUUUGCAUGUACCUUAUGAAUAAGGAUCGGCUAACUCCGUCCCAGCAGCCGCGUUAAUACGGAGGAUCCGAGCGUUAACCGGAUUUAUUGGGUUUAAGGGGGCCGUAGGCGGGUUGUUAAGUCAGUUGUGAAAGUUUGCGGCUCAAACGUAAAAUUGCAGUUGAUACUGGCAUCCUUGAGUACAGUAGAGGUAGGCGGAAUGCGUGGUGCAGCGGUGAAAUGCUUAGAUAUCACGAAGAACUCCGAUUGCGAAGGCAGCCUGCUGGACUGUAACUGACGCUGAUGCUCGAAAGUGUGGGUAUCAAACAGGAUUAGAUACCCGAGUAGUC
Molecule: ribosomal RNA, 460 nt
Filed under: uncultured bacterium
Lineage: Bacteria
Description: partial 16S ribosomal RNA
Rfam family: Bacterial small subunit ribosomal RNA
Source: RNAcentral